UUGCUAAGACAGCUAGGAUGUUGGCUUGGAAGCAGCCAUUCAUUUAAAGAGUGCGUAACAGCUCACUAGUCGAGGAGUUUGGCGUGGAUAAUAAUCGGGCAUAAGUAUUCUACCGAAGCUUUGGGAUGAGAAAUCAUCGGUAGGGGAGCAUUCCACUCGGCGUCGAAGGUGAAGCGCGAGCUUUGCUGGAGCGUGUGGAAAAGCAAAUGUAGGUAUAAGUAACGAUAAAGGGGGUGGGAAACCCCCUCGCCGAAAGACUAAGGUUUCCUGAUCAACGCUAAUCGGAUCAGGGUAAGUCGGGUCCUAAGGCUCAGCCGAACGGCGAGGCCGAUGGCAGAACCGGUUAAUAUUCCGGUACUACCUGUGGGAGUGACGUGGAGACGGAGUCGUGACAGCGCCGCGGACUGACGGAAUAGUCCGUUGAAGGGUGUAGAUGCUGAUUGUUCCAGGCAAAUCCGGAGCAAGAGUCGAACCUGAUAGUAUGGAGCGUUCUUAGAACAAUCCAAUAGUGCGUGUAAUCAUACUUCCAAGAAAAUCCGCUAAACUUAAUCCUCCAGGUACCCGUACCGCAAACGGACACACGUAGUCGGGUUGAAUAUACUAAGGCGCUUGAGUGAUUCACGGUUAAGGAACUAGGCAAACUGACCCUGUAACUUCGGGAUAAAGGGUCCUCGCUUAACGGCGAGGCGCAGAGA
RNAcentral lists this ribosomal RNA (695 nucleotides) under Campylobacter jejuni. Its description in RNAcentral is "partial 23S ribosomal RNA". It matches the Rfam family "Bacterial large subunit ribosomal RNA", at positions 1081 to 1785 of the family's 2925-position model. The record is from RNAcentral. Lineage: Bacteria; Pseudomonadati; Campylobacterota; Epsilonproteobacteria; Campylobacterales; Campylobacteraceae.